RNAcentral lists this ribosomal RNA (544 nucleotides) under Lyciasalamandra fazilae. Its description in RNAcentral is "partial 16S ribosomal RNA". It matches the Rfam family "Bacterial large subunit ribosomal RNA", at positions 1849 to 2612 of the family's 2925-position model. Lineage: Eukaryota; Metazoa; Chordata; Amphibia; Caudata; Salamandridae. The record is from RNAcentral.
GAGGUCCCGCCUGCCCAGUGAUCUGUUUCAACGGCCGCGGUAUUAUGACCGUGCAAAGGUAGCGUAAUCACUUGUCUUUUAAAUAAAGACCUGUAUGAAUGGCAAAACGAAAGUUCAACUGUCUCUUUAAUCCUAUCAAUUAAAUUUAUCUUUCCGUGCAGAAGCGGAAAUAAACCUAUAAGACGAGAAGACCCUAUGGAGCUUUAAACAUAAAAUUAAUUAUAUUAAUUAUUCAAGCCAACAGGAAAAAAUUUAAUAUAUAUAAUAUAAUUUUAGUUUUGGGUUGGGGCGACCACGGAGGAAAAGAAAUCCUCCGAGAUAAGUAAUCUAGAACCACAUUUCAAAAGCUAAAACAUUUAAUACAAAUGAUCCACUAAGUGACCAACGAACCAAGUUACCCUAGGGAUAACAGCGCAAUCCUUUCUGAGAGUUCCUAUCGACGAAUGGGUUUACGACCUCGAUGUUGGAUCAGGACACCCAAAUGGUGCAGCCGCUAUUAAAGGUUCGUUUGUUCAACGAUUAAAGUCCUACGUGAUCUGAGUUC